Molecule: ribosomal RNA, 429 nt
Filed under: Actinomycetes bacterium
Lineage: Bacteria; Bacillati; Actinomycetota; Actinomycetes
Description: Actinobacteria bacterium partial 16S ribosomal RNA
Rfam family: Bacterial small subunit ribosomal RNA
Source: RNAcentral
UAGGGAAUCUUCCGCAAUGGGCGAAAGCCUGACGGAGCAACGCCGCGUGAGUGAUGAAGGUCUUCGGAUCGUAAAACUCUGUUAUUAGGGAAGAACAAAUGUGUAAGUAACUAUGCACGUCUUGACGGUACCUAAUCAGAAAGCCACGGCUAACUACGUGCCAGCAGCCGCGGUAAUACGUAGGUGGCAAGCGUUAUCCGGAAUUAUUGGGCGUAAAGCGCGCGUAGGCGGUUUUUUAAGUCUGAUGUGAAAGCCCACGGCUCAACCGUGGAGGGUCAUUGGAAACUGGAAAACUUGAGUGCAGAAGAGGAAAGUGGAAUUCCAUGUGUAGCGGUGAAAUGCGCAGGGAUAUGGAGGAACACCAGUGGCUAAGGCGACUUUCUGGUCUGUAACUGACGCUGAUGUGCGAAAGCGUGGGGAUCAAACAGG